This 87-nucleotide transfer RNA is filed under the name Escherichia coli. RNAcentral describes it as "tRNA-Leu". It matches the Rfam family "tRNA". From Rfam's summary of the family: Transfer RNA (tRNA) molecules are approximately 80 nucleotides in length. Their secondary structure includes four short double-helical elements and three loops (D, anti-codon, and T loops). Lineage: Bacteria; Pseudomonadati; Pseudomonadota; Gammaproteobacteria; Enterobacterales; Enterobacteriaceae. RNAcentral also lists the same sequence under 15 other names. The record is from RNAcentral.
GCGAAGGUGGCGGAAUUGGUAGACGCGCUAGCUUCAGGUGUUAGUGUCCUUACGGACGUGGGGGUUCAAGUCCCCCCCCUUGCACCA